CACGUAGGGGGCAAGCGUUGUCCGGAUUUAUUGGGCGUAAAGAGCUCGUAGGCGGCUCACUAAGUCAGCUGUGAAAGCUCCAGGCUCAACCUGGAGAGGCCAGCUGAUACUGGUGUGGCUAGAGUCCGGUAGGGGAGCAUGGAAUUCCUGGUGUAGCGGUGGAAUGCGCAGAUAUCAGGAGGAACACCAGUGGCGAAGGCGGUGCUCUGGGCCGGAACUGACGCUGAGGAGCGAAAGCGUGGGUAGCAAACAGG
Molecule: ribosomal RNA, 254 nt
Filed under: uncultured bacterium
Lineage: Bacteria
Description: partial 16S ribosomal RNA
Rfam family: Bacterial small subunit ribosomal RNA
Source: RNAcentral